Molecule: ribosomal RNA, 492 nt
Filed under: uncultured bacterium
Lineage: Bacteria
Description: partial 16S ribosomal RNA
Rfam family: Bacterial small subunit ribosomal RNA
Source: RNAcentral
AGUGAACGCUGGCGGUAGGCCUAACACAUGCAAGUCGAACGGCAGCACAGUAAGAGCUUGCCCUUACGGGUGGCGAGUGGCGGACGGGUGAGGAAUACAUCGGAAUCUACUUUUUCGUGGGGGAUAACGUAGGGAAACUUACGCUAAUACCGCAUACGACCUACGGGUGAAAGCAGGGGAUCUUCGGACCUUGCGCGAUUGAAUGAGCCGAUGUCGGAUUAGCUAGUUGGCGGGGUAAAGGCCCACCAAGGCGACGAUCCGUAGCUAGUCUGAGAGGAUGAUCAGCCACACUGGAACUGAGACACGGUCCAGACUCCUACGGGAGGCAGCAGUGGGGAAUAUUGGACAAUGGGCGCAAGCCUGGUCCAGCCAUACCGCGUGGGUGAAGAAGGCCUUCGGGUUGUAAAGCCCUUUUGUUGGGAAAGAAAAGCAGCAGGUUAAUACCCCGCUGUUCUGACGGUACCCAAAGAAUAAGCACCGGCUAACUUCGUG